RNAcentral lists this transfer RNA (66 nucleotides) under Pseudogastromyzon lianjiangensis. RNAcentral's name for it is "tRNA-Cys". It matches the Rfam family "tRNA". From Rfam's summary of the family: Transfer RNA (tRNA) molecules are approximately 80 nucleotides in length. Lineage: Eukaryota; Metazoa; Chordata; Actinopteri; Cypriniformes; Gastromyzontidae. The record is from RNAcentral.
AGCCCCGUGGUGAAGACCACAUCAGAUUGCAAAUCCGAAGACGCAGAUUAACAUCUGCCGGGGCUU